Epinephelus lanceolatus (giant grouper) is the source of this 246-nucleotide non-coding RNA. NCBI's taxonomy places the organism in Eukaryota, Metazoa, Chordata, Actinopteri, Perciformes, Serranidae. The record is from RefSeq and is a predicted model, not a curated record.
CAGCCUUUGAUGCGUCGGACGAGAACCUGGAUGCUCCGUCAGCUGACAGCAAACCUGCCGAUCAGCUGAUCAAUCAGGAGAACAGCAGAGACGGACUGAUCUCCUGGAGAACGUUUCAUCAGUACUGUAAGGCUGCUGGAGGAUACUGUGUGUGCCUCCUCAUCCUCCUCCUCUUCAUCGUGCUGAUGACAAAUGCAGCUCUGAGUUACUGGUGGCUCAGUUACUGGUUACAUCAGGGACACGGGG